RNAcentral lists this ribosomal RNA (466 nucleotides) under Yersinia rohdei. RNAcentral describes it as "bacterial SSU rRNA". It matches the Rfam family "Bacterial small subunit ribosomal RNA", at positions 33 to 488 of the family's 1533-position model. Lineage: Bacteria; Pseudomonadati; Pseudomonadota; Gammaproteobacteria; Enterobacterales; Yersiniaceae. The record is from RNAcentral.
ACGCUGGCGGCAGGCCUAACACAUGCAAGUCGAGCGGCAGCGGGAAGUAGUUUACUACUUUGCCGGCGAGCGGCGGACGGGUGAGUAAUGUCUGGGAAACUGCCUGAUGGAGGGGGAUAACUACUGGAAACGGUAGCUAAUACCGCAUGACCUCGCAAGAGCAAAGUGGGGGACCUUCGGGCCUCACGCCAUCGGAUGUGCCCAGAUGGGAUUAGCUAGUAGGUGGGGUAAUGGCUCACCUAGGCGACGAUCCCUAGCUGGUCUGAGAGGAUGACCAGCCACACUGGAACUGAGACACGGUCCAGACUCCUACGGGAGGCAGCAGUGGGGAAUAUUGCACAAUGGGCGCAAGCCUGAUGCAGCCAUGCCGCGUGUGUGAAGAAGGCCUUCGGGUUGUAAAGCACUUUCAGCGAGGAGGAAGGCCGAUAACUUAAUACGCUGUCGGAUUGACGUUACUCGCAGAAGA